CCACAUGUCUGUUAAAAAUGCUUUUAAAGAAAAAUAUUUUGGGGUCCAGUGUUGUGACAUAGCAGGCCUUGGAGGGCCCGGCCUGAUCAGCUGGCAGCCUGUGCCUGAGGGAGGCUCUGUUUCAAGGUGUGAAGGUCAGUUGUAGGGUUUCAACCUGACGGGAUGAAGGAGUACCUGGGGACCUGGAAGAGCGUUCUGUUGGCUGUCUGCAAGGGUGUUUCCAAGUGACAUCAGCGAGUGUGGGUGCAGGAGGUGGGAAGAACAGGCCUUGAAGUGGGCGGCCAUCAUCAGUGGGCUGGGGUUCUGGAGAGACUCAAUGGGAAAAGGAUCUGGGGUUCUCACAGAGAGAGAGAGAGAGAGAGAGCGAGCGCUGGGACACCCCGGACCCCUGUAGCCGUGUCAGCGGCUGGCCUUUGGUCUGCAGGACUACACUCGCGGCCAUCCGGCUGGCUCUCAGGUUUUCUGACCUUCAGUGAAGACUCACAUCUCAGUUCUCUGGUUCGGAGGCCUCUGGACUUGGGCUGAGUCCCGCUGCCAGCGCCUGAGGCUCUCCGCGCUGCAGACGAGCUGCGAGGGACCUCACAGCUGCCACAAUCCCCUGAGCGGAACUCACCCUUCGUGUAUUCGUAUGUACGUACAUCCCAGCAGUCUGUGUCCCUAGAGAACCCUCCCCGUGCACGAGGGCGUGCUCAGAAGGCAGGUUACAGUUUGCUUAUUCAGCAGGUUAGCAUACAGAGGUUACUUGGGGCCAGGCUUAUCAUUCAAGUACGGAGGCCGGUUAGGGCCAAACUUAUUUCACUUCAGCAUUGCAAACUCCUUAAGGAGGGCUGCAUGCACGGCACACUGCUUCCCGGCUUCAGCAGCUGGAGCAUCUGCUGGAGCACACCCCUACCUUCCCUAUGUAAAUGAGCUCCACGUCAGGCCACUGGUGAUUGGCUCCUGGUCGAACGAAUCACAUUCAGGCUCAGAAUACCUUAUUAACAUACACCUCAACCAAUCAGGGGACCAGCUUUCCCUGGUAACGCAUAAAAUUGGAGGUGGGGCGCGGAAAAAGCAGCUCUCUGCGGAGCGUCCAGCGGUUUGGAGAGCGAUAGCGCCUACCAGCGCCUCUUUCAAGAUUCCUGGAUGGCUUCCCCCACUCUUCCUUGUCCAUGUGCCCCGUUCCUCGUGGUUAGGAGACCAAGAACCCCUCAGAGAAGACAGGCUGUAUCGCAGAAGACUGCGACAUGCCUGUAGGACGAGGAGCCCAGCCGAGAGAGGCUGCAGCAGGAAAGGCUGGAGCGCGGAGCUGCUGAUCACCACUGGGGUCCGUCACAGCAAAAGCUACUGAAUGGAUUUUCCUUGCACCGAAACCUCGCGUCCCUGAACAGCAGUGACCCUUGCGUGGGAGCCACUUCAAGCGUCUCAGCCACAGGCGUGCCCCGCGUGUCCUCUCCCACGGGCACUUAAGAGUCACUCACGCACAGGAUGUCUACUCAAAGCGACCCCGGGGCAGCGCUGACAGAGAUCUUGGCAGCCAUGCCUGUCUUCAGUUUGCCGCCCCAAAGACUGCUUCCGGGGUGGAGGUCUCCGCAGCCUGCACGUCCUCUGGGCUGUGUGCGGUGAGCGUUCUUGUGUUGUUGCAGAGCGGGACCCGGUGGUCUGGCGACAGAACCAGCAGACGGAGGCCCUGCGUGAUCAAGGACAGCACCCUUGACUCGGGACCUGCAGUCGUGUUGCCCCUGUGACGGCCGCACGUGCCAGACCACAGCUUCCCACAGAAAACACUGGAACCUGUGUCUGGAAGGCGCGGCUUCCCACCGUGAAAUGGCCUCGUCGCAAAGACAGGAGUGACAAUAACGCCAGAUUCAAUGAGCUGCUGUUGAUAAGACCAUGGGACGUUCUGAACUGUGGGAAUGGUAAUUGUUAUUACCGGCAGUAACAUCGAACCUUUGCAAGAUUAAAAAAAAAUGCUUUUUUCCCUAUCUCUAUAAAAAUCUGGCGACCAGAUAGAAAAGCUUUUCUAUUAACAGCACACAAAAAUGACCAACGUAAUCCCAGCAGCCCCACUCGUGCUUGCCAGUCGGACAAAGGCGCCUCCUCUGCAUGAGAAUGAUCCACAGUAGCCCCAAGGUUAUUCAUAAACCUCUAGUGCCUGCUCGCCUGGAGUCAGCCUAGAUGAGCUAUUCAAAAUGCAUCCACGGAAUCCAUUCGCUCUGAUAGACUCGAAUAACAAGGCAGAGGGCUUGAUUCCCCCCACUGGAGAGGCGUCACAGCCAUUGUCUACCUUCCCACAGAUCACAGAGCUAGGGCUGCGCUCCUACCUGGCAACAUGACUUGAGGCUUGACAU
Oryctolagus cuniculus (rabbit) is the source of this 2330-nucleotide long non-coding RNA. NCBI's taxonomy places the organism in Eukaryota, Metazoa, Chordata, Mammalia, Lagomorpha, Leporidae. The record is from Ensembl.